This 2880-nucleotide long non-coding RNA is filed under the name Sorghum bicolor (sorghum). Its description in RNAcentral is "long non-coding RNA (SBIC_LNC014455)". The record is from RNAcentral. Lineage: Eukaryota; Viridiplantae; Streptophyta; Magnoliopsida; Poales; Poaceae.
UCGAGCAGCAGCCCCAGGACGAGGCAGUCGAGUUCGCCGUCAUGGGUCUGUGGCGCUCAGCUCGGCGCGGCGCACCCCUCCCCUGGCGACAUCCUCCGUCGGCGACGCCUCCUCCCUACCACGGCUCCCGGCGGCGUCCCCCCUACUGGCUUGGUCCUAGAAUGCUGCUUCCCCACUAGCAGCGGUGGCGACGACGACAACCCCUUUCACAUCGUGGGCGCGGCUCCCCGGCCUUGACGGCCCCUCCUCGGCCUUGGUGGUGAGAUCCUCUAUCUCCGCACGCAACCGUCCAACAGCUGCUUUGUAACACCCAAAAUUUGAUUUGUAAUUAAUAGGAUUUAAUUUGUUUUAUUUAAGUAUUUUCGUGAGCAUUUGAAUCUAGCAAAUAAAUAAUUUUAUGAAAAUUAAAAUUCAUCAUAAGUUUAGAAAUAUGGUUUUGCAUUCAUGCUGGAGCAUGGUGUUUUUGUGUGUUGUUUCUGUUUUUAUUUUAUUUGUUUUUGCAUUCAAAAUUCUCUUUAGAAAAAGGCUUUGGAAAAAUAAAAUGGAAAAGAAAAACAAAAAAAAGAAGCCAGCGCUGCCGCAGCAGGCGGCCCAGCCAGCCCUCCCUCAGCCUGUUUCCCUCCCUCCCCCCGCCUCGGCCCAGGAGUCGGCCCAACCGCGCUGAUCCCCCUCCCCCUUUUCUUUCUCUGGCUGGCGAGCAGGCCCCAUCCCUUCUCUCUCUGCCGCACUGGCCCCACACGUCAGCCCUCCUCCUCCAUCCUCCCUGCCGUGCUCGAGCAGGAAACGAUCCCUCACCGAAUCGAAUCCGUAGAGCCUGAUUUCCUUGCCUAACGCGAAAACCGACUUCUAUAAAACCCCCAGCGUCGCCCCCGUGUGUUGUUUUCCAUCCCCGACGCAAGUUUAGGGCCCUAGCCGCACCUGUCGAGGUGUGCCGGGAUCUCACCGUGUCGAGCUCCAUCCGCCGUCGAGGCACGCCCUCCCUGCCCCCUCUUCGCUCGAGUGAAGUGUUGUGGUGAGUUCGCGUGAAGCCUCUCUAUGUUUCCAUGUACUCGGUUCUGUUUUUGGUGCACAGAAUAGAGAAAUCAGCGGCGCCGGUGAGCUUCAAGGGCUCCGGCCAUGGCGCCACCGCGCCGGAGCUAACAGCCGGCGGCCGGCCGCCGCCCUUUUCUCCCUGGUUGAAUCGUGACCGUCGGAUCGAGAUCUAAGGGCCGAAAAUAAAACAUACCCCUUCGGCUGCGUUUUUCAUAAAGAGCCCCUGGAGAUUUCGGUAUUAAACCCGCGGUCCUUUGCGGUUUUCCUCAGUUUACGCUUCUUAGUUUUUGAAAACGUAUUUCGUUUCGGCUGAGUCAGAUUACGCUUUCGGUUAUUUACAAUUUUGCCAUCGAUUUUAUAAUGCUCAUAAAAUAUUUAUUUUAACUCCGUUUUUGUCCAUUCAAAUUUCGUUAGAUUCGUAUUUACGAGCUCUACAUGUUAGAAGUAUUAGUUUACUGUUUUGAAACUUUUUAAUUUCCUGGUAACAUUUAAUUAAUUAUUUCUCUAUAGGAAAUAUUGAAAAAUGCAUAACUUCUCCGUUUUAAUUCCGAUUUUCGUGAACUUUACGUUUGUGUGAUCGUAGCACUGCGUAGAACAUUUUUAUAAACUUUUAUCUUUGUUUUACCACUGUUUGGUGUAAUAUUCUAAUUAUAUCUUCUUUGCUUUGUGUAUGAUUAUCUCCAAUGGAUUGCGUGUUGUUGAUUGAUGUUUGGGAAUAGACGGUGAGCCGUACGUUGGUGAGCAAGACCAAGCCGUACGUUGGUGAGCAAGACCAAGCCUUUGAGCACCAGCAAGCUUAGGAGAGUUUUGAGCAAGGCAAGUAUAACUUGGGAUCAUCCUUGUUACCUAUUCACUAUUAACUACACAUAUAUGUCAUAUGCAUGCUAUCACCUUGUCGACCUUAGCAAAAUCAUAGAUGAUUGUUAUCUGGAUUCCUUGUUACCUACUUGAUAUGCAUUUGGUGUAGAUGUGCUAGUGCUUGAUAUAAUCCAUGAUCUUGUAAGAUGAUUAUUAGCUAUGCAAUGGACAUAAAAGAAUGACAAAUAACUGUAUGAGAUCUUGUCUAGUCUGUACGUGAUCACCCGGGACAACAGUGCAACCAUGAGGGCUAUAAUGGCUCUGGCUUUAGCUCAGUAUGAAGACCUUUUCUAGCUUGUUAGAGGUUACCCGAAAGGGCGGAGGGGCUGAACCGUUUUGGGUAUAGUGUGAGCCCCUGUCCCUAUGUGUAUAGGCUGCGCGUCAUUGUGCCAUUCGGAAGGGGGGUAUCUAUAUCUACGCGCAAAGGAAACCUUACGGCCCUAACAUGUUAGACGAACUUUUGAAAGGCUUCAUAGUGAUCCCUGCCGACCUCCCUAGGAAGGGGGUUAGGAGACUAGCUACCUCGGGCGAAAGGGUAAAUCAUGACUCAUGGGUAAAGAUGUACAACCUCUGCAGAGUGUAAAACUGGUAUACUAGACGAGCUCACGGUCAGGAGUGGCCUUGGGGACAUCUACAUUAAGAUGAUGAACUUGUUAUGUUAUUAUGUUCAUUUGAUUGUCGUUUAUGCUAAGAGUCAAAUAUGCUUACAACUGAUCAUGAGAUUAUUGGGUUAUUUAUGCUGCCUUGACUUUUGCUAUUUAAUUAUGGACAUGCUAUCCACUAUUAAAAGCUAAAUGCAGUCAAACCAGUGUCAGCUAUUUGAGCCUCAUGAACCCCUGGUUAUACUUGUUGAGUACGAUAUGUGCUCACUCUUGCAAUUUCCCAACACCUCAGGAUAUGAUAAUGAAGAUGACUAGAAUGAGGAUUACCGUUAUGAGUACUAGGUUUGGAGUCAACCAGUCAACAGUGUCCCUGUGUGGAGCUUCCGUC